GACGAACGCUGGCGGCGUGCCUAAUACAUGCAAGUCCAACGCUUCUUUCCUCCCGAGUGCUUGCACUCAAUUGGAAAGAGGAGUGGCGGACGGGUGAGUAACACGUGGGUAACCUACCCAUCAGAGGGGGAUAACACUUGGAAACAGGUGCUAAUACCGCAUAACAGUUUAUGCCGCAUGGCAUAAGAGUGAAAGGCGCUUUCGGGUGUCGCUGAUGGAUGGACCCGCGGUGCAUUAGCUAGUUGGUGAGGUAACGGCUCACCAAGGCCACGAUGCAUAGCCGACCUGAGAGGGUGAUCGGCCACACUGGUACUGAGACACGGCCCAGACUCCUACGGGAGGCAGCAGUAGGGAAUCUUCGGCAAUGGACGAAAGUCUGACCGAGCAACGCCGCGUGAGUGAAGAAGGUUUUCGGAUCGUAAAACUCUGUUGUUAGAGAAGAACAAGGACGUUAGUAACUGAACGUCCCCUGACGGUAUCUAACCAGAAAGCCACGGCUAACUACGUG
RNAcentral lists this ribosomal RNA (508 nucleotides) under uncultured bacterium. RNAcentral's name for it is "partial 16S ribosomal RNA". It matches the Rfam family "Bacterial small subunit ribosomal RNA", at positions 28 to 507 of the family's 1533-position model. The record is from RNAcentral.